Molecule: ribosomal RNA, 120 nt
Filed under: uncultured bacterium
Lineage: Bacteria
Description: partial 16S ribosomal RNA
Rfam family: Bacterial small subunit ribosomal RNA
Source: RNAcentral
CGUUCCCCGGGGCCUUGUACACACCGCCCGUCACACCACGAAAAGUUGGCAACACCCGAAGCCGGUGGCCUAACCCCUUGUGGGAGGGAGCCGUCGAAGGUGGGGUCGAUGAUUGGGGUG